AACAAAUCACAUGGUCUUGAACCGGUGAUGUUUCAUUCAAAUUUCUGCCCUAUCAACUAGAUGGUAGUAUAUAGGACUACCAUGGUUGUAACGGGUAACGGAGGAUUAGGGUUUGAUUCCGGAGAAGGAGCAUGAGAAACGGCUACUAUUUCUAAGGAAAGCAGCAGGCGCGCAAAUUAUUCAAUGGAAACAAUUUUCCGAAAUAGUGACAAAAAUAUCAAUGCUGAGUACAAUGUAUUUAGUAAUUGGAAUGAGUACAAUUUAAAUCCCUUAACAAGUAACAAUUAGAGGGCAAGUCUGGUGCCAGCAGCCGCGGUAAUUCCAGCUCUAAUAGCGUAUAUUAAUAUUGUUGCAGUUAAAAAGCUCGUAGUUGAAAUUUGGGACUUUAUUGUAUUGGUUUAUUUUGAUGAACUGUAUAAUGGGUUUCUUCCUACUAGAGUUCGAUUCUGUUCUUAAUUGAAUGGAGUAGCUAUCUUUCGGGGUGGU
RNAcentral lists this ribosomal RNA (486 nucleotides) under uncultured eukaryote. Its description in RNAcentral is "bacterial SSU rRNA". It matches the Rfam family "Eukaryotic small subunit ribosomal RNA", at positions 260 to 752 of the family's 1831-position model. The record is from RNAcentral.